AGAGUUUGAUCCUGGCUCAGGAUGAACGCUGGCGGCGUGCUUAACACAUGCAAGUCGAACGGAGUGCUUCGGCACUUAGUGGCGGACGGGUGAGUAACGCGUGAGAAUCUACCUUCAGGUCUGGGACAACAGUUGGAAACGACUGCUAAUACCGGACGUGCCGAGAGGUGAAAGGCUUGCUGCCUGAAGAAGAGCUCGCGUCGGAUUAGCUAGUUGGUGGGGUAAGGGCCUACCAAGGCGACGAUCGGUAGCUGGUCUGAGAGGAUGAUCAGCCACACUGGGACUGAGACACGGCCCAGACUCCUACGGGAGGCAGCAGUGGGGAAUUUUGGACAAUGGGGGCAACCCUGAUCCAGCCAUGCCGCGUGCGGGAAGAAGGCCUUCGGGUUGUAAACCGCUUUAGUCCGGGAAAAAGGGAUGGGGUGCUAAUACCACCUUGUUUUGAUGGACCGGAAGAA
RNAcentral lists this ribosomal RNA (458 nucleotides) under uncultured bacterium. RNAcentral describes it as "bacterial SSU rRNA". It matches the Rfam family "Bacterial small subunit ribosomal RNA", at positions 8 to 486 of the family's 1533-position model. The record is from RNAcentral.